RNAcentral lists this transfer RNA (88 nucleotides) under Verrucomicrobiota bacterium. RNAcentral's name for it is "tRNA-Ser". It matches the Rfam family "tRNA". Rfam says of the family: Transfer RNA (tRNA) molecules are approximately 80 nucleotides in length. Their secondary structure includes four short double-helical elements and three loops (D, anti-codon, and T loops). Further hydrogen bonds mediate the characteristic L-shaped molecular structure. tRNAs have two regions of fundamental functional importance: the anti-codon, which is responsible for specific mRNA codon recognition, and the 3' end, to which the tRNAs corresponding amino acid is attached (by aminoacyl-tRNA synthetases). tRNAs cope with the degeneracy of the genetic code in two manners: having more than one tRNA (with a specific anti-codon) for a particular amino acid; and 'wobble' base-pairing, i.e. permitting non-standard base-pairing at the 3rd anti-codon position. Lineage: Bacteria; Pseudomonadati; Verrucomicrobiota. RNAcentral also lists the same sequence under 3 other names. The record is from RNAcentral.
GGAGGGGUGGUCGAGUGGUUGAUGGCUCCAGUCUUGAAAACUGGCGAGGCGCAAGCCUCCGUGGGUUCGAAUCCCACCCCCUCCGCCA